This 850-nucleotide ribosomal RNA is filed under the name uncultured bacterium. Its description in RNAcentral is "bacterial SSU rRNA". It matches the Rfam family "Bacterial small subunit ribosomal RNA", at positions 67 to 901 of the family's 1533-position model. The record is from RNAcentral.
CGAGAAAUUUUUCCUUCGGGGAAAAGAGUAAAGUGGCGCACGGGUGAGUAACGCGUAGAUAAUCUACCCUGGUGUCUGGGAUAACAUCGCGAAAGCGUUGCUAAUACCUGAUACGCUCCUUCGGGAGGAAAGAUGGCCUCUGCUUGCAAGCUAUCGCAUUGGGAUGAGUCUGCGUACCAUUAGCUAGUUGGUAGGGUAAAGGCCUACCAAGGCAACGAUGGUUAGCGGGUCUGAGAGGAUGAUCCGCCACACUGGAACUGGAACACGGACCAGACUCCUACGGGAGGCAGCAGUGAGGAAUUUUGCGCAAUGGGGGAAACCCUGACGCAGCGACGCCGCGUGGGUGAUGAAGGCUUUCGAGUCGUAAAGCCCUGUCAAGUGGGAAGAAGUGUGCAUAUGCUAAUACCGUAUGCAUUUGACGGUACCACUAAAGGAAGCACCGGCUAACUCCGUGCCAGCAGCCGCGGUAAUACGGAGGGUGCAAGCGUUGUUCGGAAUUACUGGGCGUAAAGGGAGCGUAGGCGGCGUAACAAGUCAGGUGUGAAAGUCCAGGGCUUAACCCUGGAAGUGCAUCUGAAACUGUUAUGCUUGAGUAUCGGAGAGGAAAGUGGAAUUCCCGGUGUAGAGGUGAAAUUCGUAGAUAUCGGGAGGAACACCUGAAGCGAAGGCGACUUUCUGGACGAAUACUGACGCUGAGGCGCGAAAGCGUGGGGAGCAAACAGGAUUAGAUACCCUGGUAGUCCACAGCUGUAAACGAUGUGCACUAGAUGUCGGGGGAGUUGACCCCUUCGGUGUCGGAGCUAACGCAUUAAGUGCACCGCCUGGGGAGUACGGUCGCAAGAUUAAAACU